GCUUUCCCGCCGGCGGCGGCGGCGGCCGCGGCCGCGGGCCGGGGAGACGGCCUUGCAGAGCGCGGGAUCCCAGGGCUGCGAGGGUGACCCAGAGCAAGCCCUGGCGCACGCGCGCUCCGCUCGACGCGGUGCUCCCGGGGUGCGUCUCUGCGAAACGCUCGGCCCUAACCGGCCCUGCACCCGGCGGGGGCGGCGGGCACUGAGCCGCUGGCUCUCGGCUGCCGCGAACAAAGGGCGCAGGAUUUAACCUCGGCUCUCUGGGCGUGCCUUUGCAGGCCCUCGUGCGCUCUGCUGGGGAAAAGAAAAAAAGCUUCUGCCAAUGCCAGUGCAGCUGUGUGUCCGCUGUAGUUGUGCAGGUUAAUUCUGCGCGAGCGAAAACACCGAGAAAGACGUUCAGGCACUGGAUAUCCACGCAGGCCUUAAGGAACCCCUGUGCAGCCUUGUGCCACGAGAGGAGUGGAUUCACUAACUUUCACGCUGAUUCCUCAAACCAAGUUGUUUCAUUUUUGGCCAAAACUCUUUAUGUUGAUCACUUUCCUUGAGUACCUACUGUCUGCCUAGUGUUGGAGACAUGGAAAUAAACGAUAAUUGUUUUGCCUGAAAACAGCACAGUUUAGUGGAGAGGACAGACAACUGAGCAGAUACUUACCAAAGCAUGCUUAGUGUUAGGGCACAGGCCCUGGGAAACGAGAAAGAUGCGCCUCCGACAGGAAGUCCAGGCUACAUCUGGAGGGAGGAGAGGCCUGCAGAGCCUGAUGAGGACUGCCACCAUCACCUCCCCCGAAGGAGGACCAGCUGGAGCUGAGGAGCAAGGUGGACUGAGAGAGGAGAGUGAGACCAUAAAGAGGCUUUGCUCUUCCAGAGUUUGGAUUUUGCCCCCAUAAGGCAGAGGGGAGCCCUUGAAAGGGGAAGGUGGAGUGAUGGAUGCAGUGUUCUCUCAGAAGGAUGGUGCAAAGUAGUAAGAGGAGACAGGGAAAGAAUGACCCCAGCCCCCUGGGAAAAUGAGGGCUGAAGGUGGUGGCGAUAGAGAAGGAAGAACAGAUGUUUAGGAAGUGGAGUGGAAGGGCUGAGGCAGAGUAACUGUGAGGUUAAUAAAGGGGGUGUCAAGGAGGAUGCCCACAGCCUGACUUGAUGAAUGACCUGGGUGGUGGGUUUAUGAGUCAACGUAGGGGAUUUAUGGGGAAGAAGGCGUGGGUUUGAGGGAAGACAGAAUGAUGGUUAACACUUGUCGCUUACCAUGUGCCAACGUCUGCUGACAUGCUAUUCUGUACUCUCCGUAACAGGCUUCUGGGUGAGGUGUCCAUUAGUAAUGCCCUCAUUUUAUAAUUCAGGGAGUGAGUUAAUUAAUGUGCCCAAGGUCACACAGCUGGAUCAUUUCCCUUUGGUGCCUGUGGAGUUUGAGCUGCGCCUGGGACAAGUAAGUGAGGAUGUCUAGGAGGCAGUUGGGUAAACACUUGCAGAGUCAGGAGCGAUGGCUGAGAUGAUAGAAAUCUGGGAGUCAUUAGUGCACAGCUAGUGGUGGAAGGAGCUGAAAUAGAUAGGGGGAAAAAGCCCAGGAACACGGGUAUGUAAGGGAUAAGUUGGAGGCAAGAAGAGGUGAAGAGAGAGCUCUGAAGUGAUCAGCUCUGUCUGGUGCUUGGAGUAGAAGUCCAGCAAGAUAAGAAUUGGAAAGUGCCUGACGGGUGCUACAUGCAGGGAGCUUGUCCUGCGUGUAGGCUGGCGUGGUGAGGGCAAAAGCUAGACUGAUGUGUAUCAAAGAGGGGAAGGCAGGCAGGAGAAAGUUUAUAGAAACUUGGCUGUGAAGGCAAGUUGUGAAGACAACAGAAAAAACCUGCAGGAGGAAGUGAGAGUGUUUGCUUGUGUGUUGUUUUGUUUUGAGAUGAGAGUAAUGUACUCUUUUUUAAAAUUAUUUUAUUUUAUUAUUAUUAUACUUUAAGUUUUAGGGUACAUGUGCACAAUGUGCAGGUUUGUUACAUAUGUAUACAUGUGCCAUGUUGGUGUGCUGCACCCAUUAACUCGUCAUUUAGCAUUACGUAUAUCUCCAAAUGCUAUCCCUCCCCCAGAGUAAUGUACUCUUAAUUACUUGUUAAAGGAACAAAGAAAGUAGUUUUCAAAUUUUAUUUUCGGGUCCACUCAUCUUCUACUUCAUUACCACUUCCUAUCACUACUUUUUAAUCUUCCAACUGAACUACCAUUAUAUUUUCCAAAUCCAUCUUGUUUCUGUAACAGCUGUCAUCCGCAAGACCACUAACAUUGCAUUAGAAAGUACAGACAUGAGGCUCGCGCGGUGGCUCAUGCCUGUAAUCCCAGAAUUUUUGGAGGCUGAGGCAGGCAGAUCACUUGAGGUCAGGAGUUCGAGACCAGCCUCGCCAAAAUGGUGAAACCUGGUCUCUACCAAAAAUAUAAAAAAUUAACCAGGUGUGGUGGCACGUGCCUGUAAUCCCAGCUACUCUGGAGGCUGAGGCAGGAGAAUCGCUUGAACCCGGGAGGCAGAGGUUGCAGUGAGCCGACAUCAUGCCACUGCACUUUAGCCUGGGCAAGAGAGCAAGACUCCAUCUCAAAAAAAAAAAAAAAAGUACAGAUGUGAGUAGAUCUCUGUUUCCUACCCUUUGGCAUUUGGCAUUUGGCAUUUCUGGAGAUCUACUGUCUACCAAAUUCUGUCCAAGAUCCCCACACCAUGUUUCCAGCCUGUUGCCAGGGCACAACCCAGGUUUUGUCAUUCCCUGGACACAUCUGGGAAUUGACAUGGCUGGGCCUUUGCUCUCAUAGAAAACCCCUCUCUGCUCCUCUAUAUAGGCAGGCCCAUUUAACAUCUAGUUGAUAUUGAGAUGUCACUGCCUUUUCAUUCAUUAAUCAUGUAUUGAGCAUGUACUUUGUGCCAGGCACUGUGCGGAAAAGCUUCCCCACUCUCCUUUCAGCCAGUCUUGGCAUCUUCCACCAUAUGCUUCUAUGACUCCACCAUAGCACCUCUUACCUUGUAUUGCUGUUAUCUGAAAAAAAAAAAAAAAAAAAAAAAAAAAAAAAAAAAAAAAAAGUCUGCAUUAUUCUGACAUGAUGUGCCCCCGCUGUAUCUCUACCUGUUUCUGUGAAGAGUGGCAGAACUUAAAAAUGGGUCCACAAAGCCAAAUGAGAUCCCCCUUCCCCAAUUCAUACAGUCUGCUUUCCUCUUGUGAGUCAGGGAAAUAGAUCUGGCUAAGGAAGGAUGAAGUCUUAAGCUGGGGUUGGAAAGGGGGACUUGGGAGGAGAGUAGUGAGUUGAGCUUUGGACAGGUUGCCUUGGGACUCGGUGCUUUACAGCUAUUGGGGCCUAUAAUGGUUGUUGAAUGAGGAAGUGAUAGUCCAAAGGGGGUAUUUUCUGUGUACCAUCCUACUGAGAUUUGAAUGCACAAGAAACAAGAUUUGGCUUCUAAGAUCCAUGUGCUUGAGAUAGUUAACGGAUUUUGGAGGUUCUUUCCUGGAUAGGAUUAUUUGGUUUUUAUGUUGACAGUGUUUGAGAGGUCUUUUAGCAAGUAGUUGGUAUCAGCUAGACUUUGGGUGCCUUGGCAGCAUUUUCUAGCAUUUUCCUGUUCUGAAGACAGCAGCACCUGUAUCUGUUCUGGAACAUCUGGUGGCCAUUUGCACAGCUACUGCUGGACUUCCAUCUUUAUCUCUCCAGGCAGACGAGUCGAACCUUCCAAUAGGAAAUUUUGGGUAAUGCUCAAGAAGUGAGCAGUCCAGAGCUGGUGAGGUGAUUCUGCCAUCCCCAACAUGUGAACUCCAGGGUGACUUUGCCAUUUGUCAUGAUUUUCUAGCCACAGGAUGGAGAAAGAGGAAGUAGAAGGCCUGCAGUUUCCAUUUUAGGAUGUUACAUACUUCAUGUUCACUCAUAUCCCAUUGGUCAGAGCUUGGUCACAGGGCCAUGCAAGGUGCAGGGGAGGCUGGGAAAGGUAUUUUUGGACCGGAUGACCAUGUAUCUUGCUGAAUCUCAGAAAACUUCUAUUAUUAAAGGUACUAAAGUCUGAAUGGAUAUGGGAGGAAAAUCAUUAAUCUUCACCAUGGCUGUCUUUUGCCAAGAGCCCAAUAAGGUUUGGCUGUGUCCCCACCCAAAUCUCAUCUUGAAUUGUAGCUCCUAUAAUUCCCACGUACUGUGGAAGGGACCUGGUGGGAGAUAAUUGGAUCCUGGGGGCAGGUCUUUCCCGUGCUAUUCUUGUGAUAGUGAAUAAGUCUCACAAGAUUUGAUAGUUUUGUAAAGGGGAGUUUCCCUGCACAAGCUCUCUUCUCUUGUCUGCUGCCAUGUGAGAUGUGCCUUUCACCUUCUGCCAUGAUUGUGAGGCCUCCUUAGCUACGUAGAACUGUGAGUCCAUUAAACCUCUUUCUCUUGUAAAUUGCCCAGUCUCGGGUAUGUCUUUAUCAGCAGUAUGAAAACAGACUAAUACAGAGCUAUAACAAUGAAUAAAAAAAUCAACAUUCUGAAAUUUCAUACCAUUCCUCCCAAUAGCACAGCAUGUAGAGUUGGCCACAUUUUACCUAAAUCUUUUGCCAUCACCAAAUUACUGACCUGGAAUAAUUUAAUCUUACUGCCUUCUAUCCUACCUCUUCUGCUCAGCCAAUUAAUAUUUUAGAGUCUAUUUCUCAUAGCAAACCACUUCAAAACAUAAAAUUCUGUCUCAAGUAGGAAUGCUUAUGGCUGCAAGUAAUGACAACCUGAUCAAUAGCUUAAAAAGGGGUUUAUUUUUCUCAUUACAUAAAAAGUCUAGAGUAGUGGUUUCUGGCAUUGGUUCCAAUGCUGCAGCCGAGGACUAAGACUCUUUCUUUCAUUCUGCUUGACUUUUCUUAACAUGUUGGCUUUUUGACUUCUUCUUUGUUAUUUUGUGCUUGCAAGAUGAUUGCUAUGGUUCCAGCCAUCACAUCUAUUUCUUUUUUUUUUUUUUUGAGAUGGAGUUUUGCUCUUGUUGCCCAGGCUGGAGUGCAAGGGCAUGAUCUCAGCUUACCGCAACCUCCACCUCCUGGGUUCAAGUGAUUCUCCUGCUUCAGUCCCCCUAGUAGCUGGGAUUACAGACAUGCGCCACCAUGCCCAGCUAAUUUUUUUUUUUUUUUUUUUUUUUAGUAGAGAUAGGGUUUCUCCAUGUUGGUCAGGCUGGUCUUAAACUCCCAACCUCAGGUGGUCCACCCGCCUUGGCCUCCCAAAG
Molecule: long non-coding RNA, 5167 nt
Filed under: Homo sapiens (human)
Lineage: Eukaryota; Metazoa; Chordata; Mammalia; Primates; Hominidae
Description: non-protein coding lnc-SOD1-9:3
Source: RNAcentral